GAUGAACGCUGGCGGCGUGCUUAACACAUGCAAGUCGAACGAUGAAGCCCAGCUUGCUGUGUGGAUUAGUGGCGAACGGGUGAGUAACACGUGAGUAACCUGCCCUUAACUCUGGGAUAAGCCUGGGAAACUGGGUCUAAUACCGGAUAGGAGCGUCCACCGCAUGGUGGGUGUUGGAAAGAUUUAUCGGUUUUGGAUGGACUCGCGGCCUAUCAGCUUGUUGGUGAGGUAAUGGCUCACCAAGGCGACGACGGGUAGCCGGCCUGAGAGGGUGACCGGCCACACUGGGACUGAGACACGGCCCAGACUCCUACGGGAGGCAGCAGUGGGGAAUAUUGCACAAUGGGCGCAAGCCUGAUGCAGCGACGCCGCGUGAGGGAUGACGGCCUUCGGGUUGUAAACCUCUUUCAGUAGGGAAGAAGCGAAAGUGACGGUACCUGCAGAAGAAGCACCGGCUAACUACGUG
RNAcentral lists this ribosomal RNA (466 nucleotides) under uncultured bacterium. RNAcentral's name for it is "partial 16S ribosomal RNA". It matches the Rfam family "Bacterial small subunit ribosomal RNA", at positions 28 to 507 of the family's 1533-position model. The record is from RNAcentral.